CACGGGUCAACCGGAUCCCAACUCCGUUUCAACACCAAAGUUCCCCGGACGAGCGAAUAGCCUUGCAGUUUGCGGUUGGAAGGCAGAGGGGAUCCAGCAGAGAUCCCGGCAGGCGAGCCGCGCCGCGCCGAUCGCUCGGCGGUUGCCGCUUUGCCAGCGAGUGAAAUCGGAGACUCCAGUUCAGUUCUGGCUUCGCUUCCUUCCCAGUUUCCUUCCAGUGCUGUGUGUGCAGUGUGAUAGACUGACCGUCCCGUGGUCGUACUCCGGCGUACACGGGGCGUCGCAACGUUCGACUGAGGGUGGACUUGUCCUCUGCCCCUUCAAGUGUGCCAGUGCUGGGUGCGGAGCCGGAAAAAAAAAAUACUCCUAGAAGAGAGAAGCAUCGUCCAUCUCUUUCCCUUACCUUUGUUCCCUCUUCCUCCCUCCUCCUGCCGACCUGACCCGACCUACCAACCCGCCUCCCCCACCGCGGCAGCUCGGAAUCUCCCCUCGCCGUCCGCCCGCCCCACGGCUGCCGCCGCGCCGUGCGUCGCCGCCGCUGCCUCCGCCAAGCACCCCCGGCCGGGCCCCUCACGGCGCGUCGCCGCCGUCCCCCCCUUUCGCUCGUCGGGGCGUCGCGUUCCUGCUGCCUCCGCCCCGUCCGCGGUCCCCGGCCGCCGGUUUCCGAGAUAUCGUUCCAUUGUCGGUCCAUCGUGAAAGUCCAGGGUGUUGCAUGCCAUAACGAGAAAAGCCCGUGCUUACGCUCUCAUCUGACUGGCAGAAUAUGGUAAUCGAUCAGUUUUGGUAACAUUGUGGUGAGUGCGCUGCUGGUUAGAUAUACCACAGAUCCUUCCAUAUUCGAUAUGCCAUCAUGGUGGGGGAAGUCUUCCUCCAAAGAUGCAAAGAAAACCACCAAAGAGAACCUCAUGGAUACAUUUCAUCGGUUUAUAAGUCCAAAUGAGCAAAAAGGAAGCACAAAAUCAAAACGGAGGUAUAGACGUGGCGAUGAUACAGCUGUUGAAAAGGUCUGCCAGUCUACCACAGUAUCGCGCGCAACUUCACCCUCAAAAGAAGUUUCUCGCUGUCAAAGCUUUUCAGCUGAUAGGCUACAUUCCCAACCACUUCCUGUUCCUGGAUCACGUCCUGCAGUCACACGCACUGCUUCUGAUGUCACUGAAUCAAGGCCCAUAUUAGAAAAACGUGGCAAACCACCACUGCUUCUGCCACUUCCUAAACCUAACAGGCCUCAGAGAAGGUCAGAAAUAGUGAUUGCUUCCCUCUCUAGCAACUGCUCUGUUGAUAGUGAUGACCAUGGAGAUUCUCAGCUUCCGAGCCCUGUUGGAAAUGAUGCUGAAAACACAACAAAUACUACUUCCAAGAGCAAGUCAAGUAAUGUGCGCAAAGAGCGUCCUGGUGCUAUCACCACCAAGAAUACCAAGGAGACGGCAAAGACAGCUAAUCAAUUCCUCAGUAACCAUACAUUGUCCACAUCGCCGAGAGGUAUUGCAGCUGAUAAUCACCAACCUAAUCCACAAAAUCCUCGGCCGGUAGUCUUGGAGAGUGCUCCGAAUAGUUUGAUGUCAAGUCCAUCUAGAAGUCCGAGAAGAAUAUGUCCGGAUCAUAUUCCAACUUCAGCCUUUUGGGCAGUGAAGCCUCAUACAGAUGUUACUUUCCUUGGCUCUGGUCAGUGCUCCAGUCCAGGUUCAGGGCAAACAUCUGGGCACAACUCCGUGGGUGGUGAUAUGCUAGCCCAGCUUUUCUGGCAGCCCAGCAGAGGUAGUCCAGAGUGUUCACCGAUUCCUAGCCCAAGAAUGACAAGUCCUGGCCCUAGUUCCAGGGUGCACAGUGGAAGUGUUUCUCCGUUGCAUCCGAGGUCUGGAGGGAUGGCACCUGAAUCUCCGACAGGUCGGAAUGAUGGUGGGAAGAAGAAGCAAACCCACAGAUUGCCUCUUCCACCACUGAGCAUCUCUAAUAAUUCAUUUUUUCCAAACAAGUCCACGCCAGCUAGUCCUAUUUCAGUGCCUCGUAGUCCUGGUCGACCAGAGAAUCCACCGAGUCCUGGAUCACGAUGGAAGAAGGGGAAGCUGAUUGGUCGUGGGACAUUUGGCCAUGUAUAUGUCGGCUUUAACAGUGAUAGCGGUGAAAUGUGUGCUAUGAAAGAGGUGACCCUAUUCUCGGAUGAUCCUAAAUCAAAGGAAAGUGCAAAGCAGUUGGGGCAGGAAAUAUCGCUCUUGAGCCGCUUACAACACCCAAAUAUCGUACGAUACUAUGGCACAGAAACGGUUGAUGACAAACUGUAUAUAUAUUUGGAGUUUGUGUCUGGUGGAUCUAUCCAUAAACUUCUACAAGAGUAUGGACAGCUUGGUGAACCAGCAAUACGCAGCUACACUCAGCAGAUACUCUCAGGCUUAGCUUAUUUGCAUGCGAAGAAUACAGUCCAUAGGGAUAUCAAAGGUGCAAACAUACUAGUAGAUCCUAGCGGUCGUGUUAAGCUUGCAGACUUUGGAAUGGCUAAACAUAUCAAUGGGCAGCAAUGUCCUUUCUCAUUUAAGGGUAGCCCAUAUUGGAUGGCUCCAGAGGUUAUAAAGAGUUCGAAUGGUGGUUGCAAUCUUGCGGUUGACAUAUGGAGUUUAGGAUGCACUGUCCUGGAGAUGGCUACCGCAAAACCCCCAUGGAGCCAGUACGAAGGGAUUGCUGCAAUGUUCAAGAUUGGAAAUAGCAAGGAACUUCCACCAAUACCAGAUCACCUAUCAGAGCAGUGCAAGGACUUCAUCAGGAAGUGUCUGCAACGUGAUCCUUCUCAACGGCCGACAGCAAUGGAGCUUUUGCAACACCCGUUCAUACAAUAUAAAGUCCGACUUGAGAAAUCCGUUAUGUCUGAUCCUUUGGACCAUUUGCCCGUGAUAUCUUGUAGACCGAAUUCUAAGGUGGCUGGACAUACAACAAAUAUUUCGUCAUUGGGAUUGGAGGGUCAGACAAUUUACCAGAGAAGGGGUGCAAAAUAUUCUUCGAAGCAUAGCGAUAUCCAUAUACGGAGCAAUAUAUCAUGUCCAGUUUCUCCAUGUGGAAGUCCUCUGCUAAGGUCAAGGUCUCCCCAACAUACAAAUGGCCGAAUGUCACCCUCUCCAAUUUCAAGCCCCAGAACCCUUUCAGGCACCUCUACUCCCCCGUCUGGUGGAAAUGGUGCUAUUCCCUUUAAUCAUUCGAAGCAACCAACCUACAGCAAUGAAGGAUUUGCAAUCGCAUCAAGAGGCCCAGAUGAUCACUUCCCCAACCGGCCUACAGAUCGUAACCUUGGGCAAUUUGGUCGAGUGCAUCAAGUCUCACAGGUGAGUCAGGAGAGGAUAGUAACUGAAGCUAACAUUCUGAGCCCUCAAUUUGGAAAGAGGCUUGGAAACGUUUUUGAUCUGCGAGAUAGACUGUCGCCUUCUGAACAUUUCAGUCGUCCUACCUUGGUGGAUCAUGUGAAGCCAAAUCCUUCACUAGACUUAACAACUUGUUCUCCCCACCUUGGACACAAGCGUGAUAACUAAUUAUCAAGGAUAGGCCAAGUGAUUUCUUUUGGAGCUUGGUAGGGUAACUGAGUGGUUUUCAGCUGCUUUGGCCAUUCAGUCGCUGGAAUUGUAUCAUAAUAUGACUAUGGGAAAUAUCAUUGGUUUAUUUUGAAGCCAACAACUGUAGAUGGAUGGAGUCUUUGUUGUCAUCCCCACAGAUAGACAAAGCCCAUCCAUCCAUCACUGUCAGGCGGAACAACUGGGUGUUUGCAUACUACUACUACUGGCGUGCUAACAACAUGCGUCGAAACGACAAGACUGUAUACUAGGAGACUGAAGAAGCCAGAGCAGUUGGCCACCUCCCUGCCUCUACAUGUUAAUUGCCUUUCUUGGCGUCCUGAUGCCAUUUGUACAGAAGUAAUCUCAAGUAAAAGCCAACCAAUAUUUUGCACAGGAGAAACAGUUGAGCCAAAUUAUUUUUAACAGCUACCCGAGGCUGAAGCGGCGGCUGCAAGUCACCAUGGAAACUCGUACAAAGAGCAUGGUCCCUAAUUAAAUUAGCUCUCCCGACAUGUAUAAUUUCUCAUUCAGAUGUACCAUGCCCGUCCAGUUGUUCAUAUUGAAUCCGUAUAUAUACAACUUGUCUGCGUUACUGCCGGUAGCUGUAUUCCUCCAGGUUCCAUAUGCGCUCUGCACGUGUUUCGCGGCAAGAUGGUGAACGGCCCUGGCAUGGAGCCAAGCAGUAAGCCAUAUGUUCUGCAAACGAUGAUGGUGCGCUCCGUGUAAAGGUUGUGUGCAUCGUCGUGUCUGCUCCUAGUCAGCUCAGUUUGGCACUAUGCUACUAUGCAUUAUUAUGUCUUGGCAUGCCAUCCUUCCAGGUCCAGUUGCCUUCCUACCACGGUGACAGAGGCCACGGUUUGUCCUGCCGAUCUACCAGCGUCGCUCAGCUCCCAGAUCGGGCCGACAGCGUGAGCCCCCUUGGAGCUGGCGCGGUGGCCACCAGGGCUCACAGAGCCGCCGCACACGCACCGGUUGUUUUCAGAAUUCACCCUUGCCUGUACGAUUUCCUCGCAUUCAUUGCCUUUGCUUCGUGUGCCCGCAUCUUCCACUUGCACCGGUUGGCAUUGGCAACCCGCCGUGUACCGUUCGCGGCUAGACGGCAGAGAAACAAACGGCCGGAGCAAGGCGUCUGCCACGGUGUACAGCUUGUCUGCUUGCAGUGUAGCGUUACCAUUCUACUUGCUACAGGACCAGAGCGGCAGGCCACGCCACGCCACGCCACGCCCCCACGCCGCUAGUUGCCAACCGGCGGUGGCUCCGCUCAUCAUUGUCCUUUGCCCCCAUCACUCUAGCCUGUGACCAAGGGCCUGCCAUUGCUUCAGCACGGCCUGACAGGUGGUAUAGGCUCC
RNAcentral lists this ribosomal RNA (4882 nucleotides) under Triticum aestivum (bread wheat). Its description in RNAcentral is "partial small subunit ribosomal RNA". Lineage: Eukaryota; Viridiplantae; Streptophyta; Magnoliopsida; Poales; Poaceae. The record is from RNAcentral.